Molecule: ribosomal RNA, 442 nt
Filed under: uncultured bacterium
Lineage: Bacteria
Description: partial 16S ribosomal RNA
Rfam family: Bacterial small subunit ribosomal RNA
Source: RNAcentral
CCUACGGGAGGCAGCAGUGGGGAAUAUUGGGCAAUGGGCGCAAGCCUGACCCAGCAACGCCGCGUGAGGGAAGAAGGCUUUCGGGUUGUAAACUUCUUUUCUCAGGGACGAAGCAAGUGACGGUACCUGAAGAAAAAGCAUCCGCAAUGUCGGUGCACGCAGCGGGGGAAAUACGGAGGAUGCGAGGUUAUUCCGGUUUAAUUGGGUUUACGGGGUGCGUAGGCGGAAUGCCAACUCAGCGGGAAAAUCGCGGGGCUCAACCUAGCUUCGCCGUUGAAACUGGCGUUCUUGAGUGGGCGAGAGGUAUGCGGAAUGCGUGGUGUAGCGGUGAAAUGCAUAGAUAUCACGCAGAACUCCGAUUGCGAAGGCAGCAUACCGGCGCCCAACUGACGCUGAAGCACGAAAGCGUGGGUAUCGAACAGGAUUAGAUACCCUAGUAGUC